GCGCGAAACCUCUGCAAUGCGGGAAACCGUGACAGGGGGAUCCCAAGUGCUCAUGCAUUGCAUGGGCUGUUCUUUGGUCUAAGUAACCAGAGGAGUAAGGGCUGGGCAAGACCGGUGCCAGCCGCCGCGGUAAUACCGGCAGCUCAAGUGGUAGCCGCGAUUAUUGGGCCUAAAGCGUUCGUAGCCGGAUAAGUAAGUCUUUGGUUAAAUCCUGCAACUUAACUGUGGGAAAUCUAGGGAUACUGCUUGUCUUGAGACCGGGAGAGGUUAGAGGUACUCCUAGGGUAGGGGUGAAAUCCUGUAAUCCUAGGGGGACCACCUGUGGCGAAGGCGUCUAACUGGAACGGGUCUGACGGUGAGGGACGAAACCUAGGGGAGCGAGCC
RNAcentral lists this ribosomal RNA (384 nucleotides) under uncultured prokaryote. RNAcentral describes it as "bacterial SSU rRNA". It matches the Rfam family "Archaeal small subunit ribosomal RNA", at positions 339 to 725 of the family's 1478-position model. The record is from RNAcentral.